RNAcentral lists this ribosomal RNA (465 nucleotides) under uncultured bacterium. Its description in RNAcentral is "partial 16S ribosomal RNA". It matches the Rfam family "Bacterial small subunit ribosomal RNA", at positions 28 to 507 of the family's 1533-position model. The record is from RNAcentral.
GACGAACGCUGGCGGCGUGCUUAACACAUGCAAGUCGUACGGUAAGGCCCUUUCGGGGGUACACGAGUGGCGAACGGGUGAGUAACACGUGAGUAACCUGCCCACAACUUUGGGAUAACGCUAGGAAACUGGUGCUAAUACUGGAUAUGUGCUCCUGCUGCAUGGUGGGGGUUGGAAAGCUCCGGCGGUUGUGGAUGGACUCGCGGCCUAUCAGCUUGGUGGUGGGGUAGUGGCCUACCAAGGCGGCGACGGGUAGCCGGCCUGAGAGGGUGACCGGCCACAUUGGGACUGAGAAACGGCCCAGACUCCUACGGGAGGCAGCAGUGGGGAAUAUUGCACAAUGGGCGCAAGCCUGAUGCAGCAACGCCGCGUGCGGGAUGACGGCCUUCGGGUUGUAAACCGCUUUCAGCAGGGACGAAGCUUUUUGUGACGGUACCUGCAGAAGAAGCACCGGCUAACUACGUG